Molecule: long non-coding RNA, 443 nt
Organism: Sitophilus oryzae (rice weevil)
Lineage: Eukaryota; Metazoa; Arthropoda; Insecta; Coleoptera; Curculionidae
Exons: 2
Source: RefSeq, a predicted model, not a curated record
GUUGUGCUCUAAAAAAUGGGUUACCAAAGAUUAGAAGUUUUAGAAAGAUUAGAAAAAAAUUCUAACCUACAUUUAACAUUUUUGACAUUGACAUUUUUCGCUUGAUCAAGAAAUUGAUUUGCUUUUAAAAAUUCCUAAAGAAAAAUGUCUCUUCAAACUACAAUUUAUAAUACGGUUUUUAAAAGAUCGUCUACUUUUGCAUUAGCAUUUGUAGCAUCAGCCUUUUUCUUUGAAAGAGGUUUUGACUUAGCAGCCCAAACGAUCUAUGACAAAAUUAAUGAAGGAAAACAGUGGAAGGAUAUUAAAGAUAAAUAUGCCCAGUAGAGAUCCAAAUUUUUUAUCACUGUUGUAGUUUGUAGUAAAGUAUUAAAUAAAUUCGUAUUUAUAAUAAACGUGUUGAAUUAAUAUGUCUUUAUUAUCAAAUUAAAAUAACAUUAACAGUA